GAUUCCCUCUCCUGUCCUAAUUUCUCCUGGAUUUACCAUGUAUGCUGUACCUACUAGGUCACAAGGAUGCAAGGCUCGGGAGAUUUGCAAAAAUUAAAACACACAGUUAUGACGUCUGGUCACCCUGUUUGGAAGACUACAUUUUCCACACUUUCAGUUGAAAAUACAGAUAGGUCUCUUCCCCCAUGCCCUGCAAGCCUCAGAGACUGUUCCAACUUCAAGCUGUGACUGGAAUGUAAUCAGAGAAUGCAUGAACAGCAAAGCAGAGUGAAAGGAGGGAAAGCAAAUAAACCUGCAUCACCAACUAUCCCUCAUCCAAGCAUGUUCAAGAAGUAUCGAUCUGUAAGUUUGGCCACCAAAAU
This is a long non-coding RNA of Sceloporus undulatus (fence lizard), 362 nucleotides long. RefSeq lists it as uncharacterized. The record is from RefSeq and is a predicted model, not a curated record. Lineage: Eukaryota; Metazoa; Chordata; Lepidosauria; Squamata; Phrynosomatidae. The transcript is spliced from 3 exons.